UACGAGUGCCCCAAGCGUUAUCCGGAAUCAUUGGGCGUAAAGGGUGUGUAGGCGGUUGUAUUAGUCUCCUGUAAAAUCCUCGGGCUUAACUCGAGAUCUGCAGGGGAAACGGUACAACUAGAGGAUGAGAGGGGUGAAUGGAACUCAUGGAGUAGGGGUGAUAUCCGUUGAUAUCAUGGGGAACACCAAAAGCGAAGGCAAUUCACUGGCUCAUUCCUGACGCUGAGACACGAAAGCGUGGGUAGCGAACGGG
RNAcentral lists this unclassified non-coding RNA (253 nucleotides) under uncultured Parcubacteria group bacterium. RNAcentral's name for it is "contains 16S-23S intergenic spacer region". It matches the Rfam family "Bacterial small subunit ribosomal RNA", at positions 524 to 776 of the family's 1533-position model. The record is from RNAcentral.